UUUAUACUCUUUCCGUCCGAAAAUACUUGUCGAAAAAAUGCAUAAAAAUAAAUGUAUCUAGAACUAAAAUACAUCUAGAUACAUCCAUUCCUCCGACGAGUAUUUCCGGACGAAGGGAGUACUAA
Triticum aestivum (bread wheat) is the source of this 125-nucleotide non-coding RNA. NCBI's taxonomy places the organism in Eukaryota, Viridiplantae, Streptophyta, Magnoliopsida, Poales, Poaceae. The record is from Rfam.